UCCGAGUUGACCCCGGCAGUCUCCUAUGAGUCCCCGCCAUAACGCGCUGGCAACAUAGAACGAGGGUUGCGCUCGUUGCGGGACUUAACCCAACACCUCACGACACGAGCUGACGACAGCCAUGCAGCACCUGUCUCCGGUCCAGCCGAACUGAAAGGCUCCAUCUCUGGUGCCCGCGACCGGGAUGUCAAAGGCUGGUAAGGUUCUGCGCGUUGCUUCGAAUUAAACCACAUGCUCCACCGCUUGUGCGGGCCCCCGUCAAUUCCUUUGAGUUUCAUUCUUGCGAACGUACUCCCCAGGUGGGAUACUUAAUGCGUUAGCUACGGCGCGGAAAACGUGGAAUGUCCCCCACACCUAGUGCCCAACGUUUACGGCAUGGACUAC
This 384-nucleotide unclassified non-coding RNA is filed under the name uncultured bacterium. RNAcentral describes it as "contains 16S-23S intergenic spacer region". The record is from RNAcentral.